RNAcentral lists this ribosomal RNA (496 nucleotides) under uncultured bacterium. RNAcentral describes it as "partial 16S ribosomal RNA". It matches the Rfam family "Bacterial small subunit ribosomal RNA", at positions 28 to 507 of the family's 1533-position model. The record is from RNAcentral.
GAUGAACGCUGGCGGCGUGCCUAAUACAUGCAAGUCGAGCGAACAGACGAGGAGCUUGCUCCUCUGACGUUAGCGGCGGACGGGUGAGUAACACGUGGAUAACCUACCUAUAAGACUGGGAUAACUUCGGGAAACCGGAGCUAAUACCGGAUAAUAUAUUGAACCGCAUGGUUCAAUAGUGAAAGACGGUUUUGCUGUCACUUAUAGAUGGAUCCGCGCCGCAUUAGCUAGUUGGUAAGGUAACGGCUUACCAAGGCGACGAUGCGUGCCGACCUGAGAGGGUGAUCGGCCACACUGGAACUGAGACACGGUCCAGACUCCUACGGGAGGCAGCAGUAGGGAAUCUUCCGCAAUGGGCGAAAGCCUGACGGAGCAACGCCGCGUGAGUGAUGAAGGUCUUCGGAUCGUAAAACUCUGUUAUUAGGGAAGAACAAAUGUGUAAGUAACUAUGCACGUCUUGACGGUACCUAAUCAGAAAGCCACGGCUAACUACGUA